RNAcentral lists this ribosomal RNA (252 nucleotides) under uncultured bacterium. Its description in RNAcentral is "partial 16S ribosomal RNA". It matches the Rfam family "Bacterial small subunit ribosomal RNA", at positions 524 to 776 of the family's 1533-position model. The record is from RNAcentral.
UACGUAGGUCCCGAGCGUUGUCCGGAUUUAUUGGGCGUAAAGCGAGCGCAGGUGGUUUAUUAAGUCUGGUGUAAAAGGCAGUGGCUCAACCAUUGUAUGCAUUGGAAACUGGUAGACUUGAGUGCAGGAGAGGAGAGUGGAAUUCCAUGUGUAGCGGUGAAAUGCGUAGAUAUAUGGAGGAACACCGGUGGCGAAAGCGGCUCUCUGUCCUGUAACUGACACUGAGGCUCGAAAGCGUGGGGAGCAAACAGG